RNAcentral lists this ribosomal RNA (137 nucleotides) under uncultured eukaryote. RNAcentral's name for it is "partial 18S ribosomal RNA". It matches the Rfam family "Eukaryotic small subunit ribosomal RNA", at positions 1299 to 1458 of the family's 1831-position model. The record is from RNAcentral.
UGGUGGAGCGAUUUGUCUGGUUAAUUCCGAUAACGAACGAGACUCUAGCCUAUUAAAUAGUUCGCCGAUUUUUCGAGUCGGCGUCAACUUCUUAGAGGGACGAGUGGCGUUUAGCCACGCGAGAUUGAGCAAUAACA